UGGGUAAUCUGCCCUCGAUUCUGGGAUAGCCCGGGGAAACCCGGAUUAAUACCGGAUAGCCUCUCGAGCUUUCGGGCUCGUGAGAAAAGGUAGCUUCGGCCUCCGAUCGAGGAUGAGCCCGCGGCGGAUUAGCUUGUUGGUGAGGUAACGGCUCACCAAGGCGACGAUCCGUAGCUGGUCUGAGAGGAAGAUCAGCCACACUGGGACUGAGACACGGCCCAGACUCCUACGGGAGCAG
This 238-nucleotide ribosomal RNA is filed under the name uncultured bacterium. RNAcentral describes it as "partial 16S ribosomal RNA". It matches the Rfam family "Bacterial small subunit ribosomal RNA", at positions 118 to 347 of the family's 1533-position model. The record is from RNAcentral.